UUUCCGUAGGUGAACCUGCGGAAGGAUCAUUACAAAAUGUUAUGGGAUGUCCUAACGGGUACCCAAGCAAACACAUCCAUAUUAAACUUUUGAAACAAUUACUAGUCUGAUAAGGCCAUAUGCUGUAAAAAUUUAAAUAUAUUAAAACUUUCAACAACGGAUCUCUUGGCUCUC
Molecule: unclassified non-coding RNA, 174 nt
Filed under: plant metagenome
Description: partial contains small subunit ribosomal RNA, internal transcribed spacer 1, and 5.8S ribosomal RNA
Source: RNAcentral